Peromyscus californicus insignis is the source of this 2719-nucleotide long non-coding RNA. RefSeq lists it as uncharacterized. Lineage: Eukaryota; Metazoa; Chordata; Mammalia; Rodentia; Cricetidae. The transcript is spliced from 3 exons. The record is from RefSeq and is a predicted model, not a curated record.
AGGGAGGGAAGGGUGAAACCAGAGAGAAACGCUGGGGUGCUCACACAGAAGCCCGGAUAAUGAUGGUUUAGAUGGAGGUGGUGGUGGUGGUGAUGACGGUGAGACCAGGAAGCGAAGGGAGUCAAAGCUGAAAGAGAAAACGAAGUUUAGUCCCAGCCCUGGGUCACUUGUGGCAGCGUAUGGGGAAGAAUAAGCUAUCAGAGAGACGAAGAAGAACUCCUAAGAUUGGGGAAGCCACCAGCUGGGCUGCCACUCAGAGUCAGGAAGUACUGGUGCAUACUCGAAUCCAAGAGGUAGGUUGCUCCUGACUGUAAGUGCCAGCUAAAUGACUCUCCAAAUGAUGGGGAGUCAUCAAAGAUGUUUUUCCAGCAGGAAAAUGACGUGUUCGAAACAGUGUUCCUGGCAGAUGAAUCUGGUGCCCAUGCUUGCUUUGAGGUGGGAAGAGACCCAAUCCUGGGAGCAUUAUGUGAGAGAAGGGCCCAGCUCUGGAGAAUGGCGAUAAAGAAAAAAGGGAGGGGGGGCAAAAUCCAAUGACAGGUUUUCGUUUUGAGUUUUUCUGGGUGGUGUUGCUGCUGCUGCUGUUAUUGCUGCUGUUGUUGAACAGCCCAGGACUGGGAUUUGAGCUUGGAAACAUCAAGAGUCCUGAGAUAUCUGUGGGAGCCUUUACCAUCCCCGGGGGUGGGGGUGGGGGGUCACACUGGUCACCUCUGCAGAUGGGGCUGGAGGAGCAGGCAGGACGUCCCUCACAUCUUCCUAUAGGUAAUCUCCUUUAAUGGAGGGAUUUUGUGUAAUUUUUACUUCCUCUGUGUGUGUGUGUGUGUGUGUGUGUGUGUGUGUGUGUGUGUGUGUGUGCUUUUUCUGAAUUUUUCAAAUAAUUAUUUUAAUUCCACACAGACUCCCAGAGCCAAGUUAACCCUUUGUCGACUAUCCUUUCUGAUCAGUUCGUUCCCCCUCAUCCUCAGAAAAGGGGAGGGAGGAAAGACUACAGAACCCUCUGGGGUUUCUGAAGGACUCAACAUACAAGUUCAGUCAGCCUGGUUCUCAAUUGCAGAACCUCCUCAAGGCACCCCUGUCCCCUUCAUUUUGUCCCCAUAGCUACUCACUCCAGAAGGACUCCACUCACCUCUCUCCUCUAAAUGCUGCCACAGCACCACAGAGCACCACACACUUACCUUCUAACCAAGAUGGCAGCUCCGGGCUUGGACAGGCUGUCCCUGGGAUUUCUGUUGCGGAAAUCAGCUCAGCCCAGGCAGGUGGUGAGCUACAACACAGGCCCCAAGAGGGAAUCCGCAGCAGACCCUCCAUAGUCAGAGGCCUCCACACCCAAGCUCGGGCUCUGACUCCUGACUGCUGUCUCAGGCACCUCACCUCGCCUUCUCACCUCAAUUCUCUCGUCAGGAAAAUUGGAGAUAAUGAUAGCGUUUAUCUCCUACAGUUGUUAAGCAGAUUAUAUGAUAAUGGAACGCAUUUAAUAAGUGUGCUCUAUCAUUAGUAUUAAUAAGAACAAUAAAAUAAUAAAUCUUUAUGGCCAAACCUUGUUACCUGGAGGCAAAAGUGACUUUAAUGAACUUCUGCCUAGGCUUCCAUGGAUGCCUUCCUCUCUGCCUCUCCCUUUGACUAGAUUUUUUUUUCCCCCUAAAAACAAAUGAAAAGUUGAGGAAAGUCUCAGAAUCUGGGUCAGGGUCCACUGCUGCUUACAAAGGCUGGAUAGUUUGACAGAUCCCCCAAACCCUCAAGCCUUGUCAUCUACAAAAUGAACACCCAUUCUGACCUCAUGGUAUGUGUCAGGGAGACGGGGCCUUUCCUGGUUCAGAGCAGGCCCUCCCGACAUGCCAGCUCUCCAUCAGGAUCAGGCAGCAUAGCUCUUGCCCAUCCUUCUGUCCUUUGCCCUCGACUUCCCACAUUCUUCUUUACUCAGGCCCUAAUGGUUUGGGAUGAAUCUUCCCAAGUCCACUGUAAACUCCUGAGAGGAGCCACAGAGCCAAGACUCUCUUGACUAGGAGUAGCGCCUUCCUCCUGUGUGCCCCCAGGACAAAGAAGGGAUCAGGUAACGUGUACCAGAGAGAGUCCGGUCACAGCGGGCACAGUCUUGGAAAGCCAGAAGGUGGAGGGAAGGAGAGAUCACCACAAGGCAUCCUGAGCAGUGGGUGCAGCUGAGUAGGAAGCAGGCAGCUGCCAAGAACUGGGCCUAGACAAGAACUGCAGGGGAAGCCACCGGCUCGGGCCCUGGUGCUGAGGAGACAAAUGUUAAGCCCGCCAAGCUGUGGGAGCACCAGGAGCCCUCAGCACAUUUUCGGUUCCUGGGUUGAGAGAGGGCCUUGCCCGCUGCCACAGCUAUAGGGCUGAAGGGACUCAAGUUUCCAGGCAGAGCCCCAGCCAAGGGAGCUAAGCUUUUCUCCAGAAAGCUGCUGUCUCUCCCGAGCACAGCUUUCUCCAUUUUGUCUUGACUACCCCCUCGCGAGAUUCCCUUCCCAGCUUUUAUCGGCCUGUGUUUCUGCAUCUUUCCCUAUCUCCGUUCAGUCUCUCUCAUUUCUCCCACCCCUAGCUCCCAUAACUUCUGGGGGAGUCUGUCUUGGGCUUCCCUUAUGUCCUGUACAUCAGAAACCCGACCUCCAUCAUCUGUUUCUGUUCUUGUUUCGUUUUGUUUUUUGAAAGGUCAGUUUCACUUCCUACCUGAGGGAGGUGGAGGAAUGGGCUGCCUAGCUGUGCCCACCCCCAC